RNAcentral lists this ribosomal RNA (540 nucleotides) under Clostridioides difficile. RNAcentral's name for it is "partial 23S ribosomal RNA". It matches the Rfam family "Bacterial large subunit ribosomal RNA", at positions 1325 to 1874 of the family's 2925-position model. The record is from RNAcentral. Lineage: Bacteria; Bacillati; Bacillota; Clostridia; Peptostreptococcales; Peptostreptococcaceae.
GAAUCCCACAGGCCGUAAACCCAAGGUUUCCAGGGGAAGGUUCGUCCGCCCUGGGUUAGUCGGGACCUAAGCUGAGGCCGAAAGGCGUAGGUGAUGGACAACAGGUUGAUAUUCCUGUACUACCGAUAACCGUUUGAGAGAAGGGAUGACACAGUAGGAUAAGCUAAGCACACUGUUGGUUAUGUGUGCCCAAGCAUUGAGGCAGUCAAAGUAGGCAAAUCCGCUUUGAUAAUGCUGGGAUGUGAUGGGGAGCGAAAUUUAGUAGCGAAGUAGCUGAUUUCACACUGUCAAGAAAAGUCUCUAUCGAGGUUAAAGGUACCCGUACCGCAAACCGACACAGGUGGGUGAGGAGAGUAUCCUAAGGCCAGCGAGAGAACUGUUGUUAAGGAACUCGGCAAAAUGACCCCGUAACUUAGGGAUAAGGGGUGCCACCAUCAGGUGGCCGCAGAGAAUAGGCCCAAGCGACUGUUUACCAAAAACAUAGGUUUCUGCUAAGUCGCAAGACGAUGUAUAGGAGCUGACGCCUGCCCGGUGCUGGAA